This 3006-nucleotide long non-coding RNA is filed under the name Podarcis lilfordi (Lilford's wall lizard). The record is from RNAcentral. Lineage: Eukaryota; Metazoa; Chordata; Lepidosauria; Squamata; Lacertidae.
ACCUCUGGCAUGGCCUUCUUUGAGAUACAUGAAGAACAGGGUGGAGCUCAUGGCCAGCUACUACAUGACCAGUAAGAUGCUGUUUCCAGUCCAUAGGGACUAGAAGGGUGUGUUUAAAAUAUCUCAUCGUUCUUUUCCAUUGGAAAAAAAAUAGCUUGGGCUGUGUGCCGCAUGUCUGUGUGUAAUAUAUACACUUGAUGCCAAGAAAACCUAGGGUUUUACUGUUAGGAAUAUGGUAUGCAAUAUCACAUUCGCACAUAUUUGCUUACUUUUUCACAGCUUACUCUUGAUGCCUAGAGCCAGGUUUUGAAGGAACUUGGAAGUUUUUGUAAGAGAGGGAGGAAGGAAGGAAGGCACGUGGCAUGGCUUUGCGGGUUGAGGAGACGAAAGAGUAGGAGAUGUAGGAAAGGGACUGAGCCGAGCCCUGGAUCUUCACUCCCCAGGCUAUUGGGGAAAGCUUUUUGCUUGCAUCUACGUUAUCUGCAUGCUUGCAAACUUAUCCCCACAUUCAUUAGCAAUGGAAGCAUUAUUUUCAAGGCGAUAAAGCAGGCCUAGAAAGGUGGCAGCUUUGAGGAUAUUGAGCCCUGUAGCUGAGAACUGAUUUAGUGAUCUUAAGGCAAUCUUGUGGGAAUGUGUAAUAGCUAUGUUGUUGUUUUCACUCUAGCGUCUUGUACUGCCAACUGUAGAAAGAACAUAUGCUCUAUAAGCUUCAAGCCCUGUGUGUGUGCCCAUGAACUUCUUUCUUUCUUUCUUUCUUUCUUUCUUUCUUUCUUUCUUUCUCUCUCUCUCCCCCUGUCUGUCUGUCUGUCCGUCUCCCUUCCUCCCUCUCUCUCUCUUUUUUCCCUUAGCCUUCCCCAGCCUGGCACCCUCCAUAUGAUGGAGCUAUAACUCCCAUCAGCCCCAAAUGGUACAGUUUGGGAGGGCUGCUCUUUUCAUGAGACUGCUGCAACUCCUCCCAGAUCUACAAUUCCCAGAGUUCCCUAUUAAGAGGCAUUGGUUUUUAAAACCACUCUGGAAACCGUAGUUCCAGAAAGUGAAUAGGGAUCUCGUAACAACCCUCAACAAACUAUAGCUCACACAUUUGGGGGGGGUGCUAGUGUGGGUGGAGGGAGCCUGGCUGUUCAAAGCUGUUAAAUGUGUUGUUUCAACAUGGCCUUAGUACUGAAGCCAAAAUGUCUGCAUUGGUCAAAAGGGCAUAUAUAAUCUUAGAAAGGGCCUGGCUGUGGAGGGCUGUAAUGAAGAGCACCUACAUUAUAGGAUUUACCUCUACAUCCCUGGUGGUGGGACUGGGAGGAACUGACUAAAACAACUAUUUGGAAUCUAAAGGAGGAGUGAAAAUGCUGCAAGGUGCUUAUUGUGCUGUGUGAAUGGACUGCAAGGCAAAGGAUAACAUUCACUUAGUAUGGAUAAAUGUAAAGUGAUGGACCUGUGAGAGAAAUGUUCAAUUGCUUAUCGGUCAUUCCAGACUAAACAGUUCAGGGAAAAGAUGUGGACAUCUUUGUAGACCACUUAAUGUACCUCAUUACUAGGCUUCAGUCUCAGAAGAAAUGAGAUAUUUGGCCGUCGUGCGAAAAGGCUGGAAACAAAUAACACAAGUUAAACACCGCGAUGAAUCACUUUCUUUGCCCUUCUUUGGUCUCCUCCGACUGCCUUGACUCCCAACUGCCGAAUUGGAGGGUUGUGGGGUUUUUGAAGGCCCAAAUAAGUGUGUUGCGAAGAGGCUGACAGGAAUGGAAUAGUUCACAUUAGUGAAGAAGCUAAUGUGGGAAGACACUGGCGUUUAACGUGAUGGAUGACACAGAGAAGGCAGAUUGGGAGCGGUUUUGCUAGUGCCUUCCUGAUAAUGCAAGAACAGAAACACAUUCAAUGACAUUGAAAGUUGGCAGAUUAUAUAUAAAAAAACACCACCGUGUAAGAAAUAGAUAUUCAGGCAGUGUCGGGUUAGAUUGCAGAGCUCUUCGCUACACCCUGUCACUUACGCCAAGGGCUUGGUGAUAUUUAUAACGGCUCCAUGGGCAUUUUGAUCAAUACCUGCAACUGUACGCGUCAGGUUUCUAAAGGAUGCCUUGUGUCUUAAGUUCCCGCAGAUAAAGAUGUGAGAACCAGUUUGGCUAAAGUGGAGAGGGGUGGACUUGGGCCUAGCUCAAAUCUCUGUCCAGCAGUGAAGCCUCCUGAGGUAAAGCAGGCUGCAAGGUGGCGACUAGUCCUAUCCUUCUUCCUAGGGUGAUUGUGAAGACAGUAGCAAGGGGAAAUACGUGUUGCAGAUGCAAAAUAUGUCAACAAAAGUCAGCCUGGCACUUUCAAGGGUUUAAAAUUCAAAUUUCUUUGGGGCUGAUUGCUGUUGACUUUGUAAGGGCUAUAGAGAUGUUGCAAUACUGCUGGAAUGGGAAACUAGUGAAAAUACGGGCCUGGUUUGGGUGGGUGAGACUUUGAAUCUUAAGCAGAUUAUACAGUGGCAGGCAAUGAAAGGUUUUAUUUCAUCCUGUAAAUUAGUCUGGAACCUCUCUCCACGCCCUGGUAUAAUUUUUAGUUUUCCCUCCCACAGUUUAGUGACUUUAGCUACAGUUGCAUGCCCUACACCUCUGCUUCGUUGCUUUCACUGCUAUCUGUUCUGUAAUUUAUUUAUUUCUCAAAUUUAUAUCCCGCCCUUCCUCCCCAAAGGAGCCCAGGGUGGCAAACUACAAGCGAUGAAGCAUCUUAAAAAUGAUGCAGAAACUUACCGGAAAAAUAAUAAAUCAAGAUAACAAACUUUUGAUAAAAGAAUGGAAAUGGUUUGUUGAAUAUUUGCAAACAAACUGUAAACAGAUAAGAACAUUGGCAGGAUUAUUGUAAUAACCUGCACUUUUUAUAAGAGUAUGUAUUUAAAUUAGAUGAAUAAGUGAUUAAGUUAAUUUGGAAUAAGCAGAAAAUAAAAAAUAAUAAUUAAGGAACCUCAGAAAGAGAGGGAAGGAAGUCAAGUUUCGAAAUGUUAAAAUGAUUGUAAAAUUAUUUAAAUGUAUAAAAUUG